UUGGCCCUGUUGAAUGAUGAUUAUUGAGUGAUCCAUCGGCUGAGUUUUGUCACUGUGCUGAUACUUUAAAACCUGACAACACCAA
Small nucleolar RNA from Spea bombifrons (plains spadefoot toad), 85 nucleotides. RefSeq annotates it as small nucleolar RNA SNORD71. The transcript has a single exon. Lineage: Eukaryota; Metazoa; Chordata; Amphibia; Anura; Pelobatidae. The record is from RefSeq and is a predicted model, not a curated record.